GACGAACGCUGGCGGCGUGCUUAACACAUGCAAGUCGAACGAAGAGCGAUGGGAGCUUUCUUCUAUCAAUCUUACGAACGAACGAGUAAGUAACGCGUAAUCUACCUGCCCUUCAGGGAUGAACAACAGUAGGAAACGCCAACUACUACCGCAUGCGAACUAAUCACGGCAUCGAGUAUAGAGGAACGGUUGCCUCUAUAUGUAAUCUAUCUCUGAUGCAGUUGAUUGCGUCUGAUUAGCUAGCUGGCGCGGUAACGGCCCACCAAGGCGAUGAUCAGUAGCCGGGCGGAGAGGAUGAACGGCCACAUUGGGACUGAGACACGGCUCAGACUCCUACGGGAGGCAGCAGUGGGGAAUCUUCCGCAAUGGACGAAAGUCUGACGGAGCAACGCCGCGUGAGGGAUGACGGACUUCGGGUUGUAAAGCUCUGUUAAUCGGGAAGAAAGGCCUUCUUGCGAAUAGUGAGACGGAUUGACGGUAACGGAAUAGAAAGCGACGGCUAACUACGUG
This 510-nucleotide ribosomal RNA is filed under the name uncultured bacterium. RNAcentral describes it as "partial 16S ribosomal RNA". It matches the Rfam family "Bacterial small subunit ribosomal RNA", at positions 28 to 507 of the family's 1533-position model. The record is from RNAcentral.